UAGGGAAUAUUAGUAAUGGGCGAAAGCCUGAACUAGCAACACCGCGUGUGCGAUGAAGGCCUUCGGGUUGUAAAGCACUUUUAGAGAGGACGAGGAAGGACGGUACUCUCUGAAUAAGUCUCGGCUAACUACGUGCCAGCAGCCGCGGUAAAACGUAGGAGGCAAACGUUAUCCGGAAUUACUGGGCGUAAAGCGCGUGUAGGUGGUUUGUUAAGUAGGGCGUGAAAGCUCCUGGCUCAACUGGGAGAGGUCGUUCUAAACUAACAGACUAGAGGAUGGUAGAGGGAGGUGGAAUUCCGGGUGUAGCGGUGGAAUGCGCAGAUAUCCGGAGGAACACCAGUGGCGAAAGCGGCCUCCUGGACCAACCCUGACACUCAGACGCGAAAGCUAGGGUAGCAAACGG
Molecule: ribosomal RNA, 403 nt
Filed under: uncultured bacterium
Lineage: Bacteria
Description: bacterial SSU rRNA
Rfam family: Bacterial small subunit ribosomal RNA
Source: RNAcentral